UAGCAUCACAAAGUAGCUAGAUUUCAUUCCUAGCUAGAGUGCAUUUAGGGUUAUAUCGAUCUAAUCAUUUCUCCCUUGCCAAUUAAGUCUCCAUCGAUCGGUAAAUCAGCUAUGGAAGCGAGAAAAGCCAGUGUUGUUUGCUGCAUCUUACUGCUUGUGUUAGCACUUGGAGGUCCUGCUUCUGCCACAGAUUAUUGCUACAAAGCCAUUGGCAAGCUGAUCGUCUGCGUGGGUCCUACGUGCAAGUUGGACUGUUGGCUUGAGGCGAAAUACAAUAAAGGCAGAGUCAAGCGUCACAAGUGCAUGAAACAUGGCAUAUUUGCCAAAUGUUACUGCGAAAUCUGUGUUACAUUUUGAGGGAAUCGAUCGACAAUUUGUAAAAGUCUUUAGUUGAUUUAGUCUCGUGUAAUAAUCUAGUACGUUGUUUGCUAGCUAGUUUCUUUUAAUAAUUGAUUAGUUUUGGGAGUUGCUUUUGUUUGGAUAUAGGAUAUGUGAUUAUUUAAUUUCUUCCUCCAAUGUAUCAGUUAUCACUGUACUCUCAUUCAAGAUUUUUUUUAAAAUAAAGUAUAAGUGAUAAUUGCAUUAUAAUUUUAAU
Oryza sativa Japonica Group (Japanese rice) is the source of this 595-nucleotide long non-coding RNA. RefSeq lists it as uncharacterized. The record is from RefSeq and is a predicted model, not a curated record. NCBI's taxonomy places the organism in Eukaryota, Viridiplantae, Streptophyta, Magnoliopsida, Poales, Poaceae.